UCCCGGUUCUGUCUCCACCCCCGAUGCCCCUCCCCCGCGUAACCCCCGUGGCUCACCGCACCACACGAAACCUCUGAUCCCAUGACCUCGACGGCGGCCAUGGCCGGCAAGCAGGUGCAAUACCGUGCCCCAACUCGCCCCGCACGUCGCCCAUCCUGUCACCCCCACGCGAUGGCCGCAACUCCGCGAGACAACCGCUGUCCGCCCCCCACCACCCUCCCCCGCGACGCCCCCUCCCACGACGCUUUGUGCGCGUGAGUCUGCGACUGCCGACAGCCGUCGCCGUACUGGAGCCCGAUCUGCUGGCUCCCCCUCAACCUCACCACCAUGCCCCCAUCGGACCUCGUCACGCCGUGCGUGGCGGUGCCGGUGAUGGACGCGGCGUUGCUAGCCGUCAUCGUCCCGCCUCGACGUUCGAUCCAUGCUCGCCACGGUUGGUGCUCGCACGCGAUGUGGCGUGGCGAGGUUACCGCGGGCGCCGCGGAGGUGGAGGGGGAAGGGGAGGAUGAGGGCACGGGCAAGAGAGUGCAUCGCGGUGGACGGUCUCGUGAGUGAGUGCUGCUGCCUGCCCCUCUCUCUCUGCCUGCGUUCUCCUGGUGCUGCUCUCCCUCUCCUCCCCUGCUUCGACCUCCCGCCUUUCCCCACCGUUUCUUGGAUUUCUAGGAUCCAGACAACCGCCCUUGUGAGCCUGCCUUCCUGCCUACUACCUGCGUACAUACAGGAGGGACCUUGGGUGAUCCGGGUGCUUGGUUUCUUGGUUCUGCGGCUUUCGCUGCUGUUGGAUUUGCCGAGCCGGAGCCGCCGGAGAUGACCGUCGACGAGCUGAAGCUGCAGGCAAGGGCCAGCGGCGGCCACGACCUAAGGACCAGUUCCCCGUCGGCAUGCGCGUGCUCGCCGUCGACGAUGACCCGACCUGCCUCAAGGUCCUUGAGAACCUCUUGUUCCGCUGCCAGUACCAUGUGACAACAAUGGGACAGGCAACCACGACCUUGAGCUGCUGAGGGAGAAAAAGGACCAGUUUGACCUUGUGAUCAGCAACGUCCACAUGCUGGACAUGGACGGCUUCAAGCUCCUCAAGCUUGUGGGUCUCGAGAUGGACCUUCCGGGGAUUAACAGCUGAAAACCUCGCCCGAUUUGUAAAGAAGUUUUCUUGUUCAAUGCGGCAUUGAAUUUGGGAGGAAUGGCAAGUCUCAUGAAAACUUCUAUAUGCCCUACACGUGACCACUAAAAGAAAGAGUUAGACAGGACAAAAGGCUGCAGGUGAAGCGGCAGAAGAAGAGCUUUUACAAUAAACCCUAAACCCUUACAAUGCUGAUUUUGAUGGAGAUGAAAUGAAUUUGCAUGUCCCUCAGACGGAGGAAGCUCGCACUGAAGCGCUUAAUUCUCAUAGGGGUUCAAAAUAAUUUAUGUACUCCUAAGAAUGUGAUGGGGGGUACUUCAAUGCAAUAAUGAGCUUCCCACAAAAUUACCCAAACAGCCCGCCAUCAGUCAGAUUUACCUCUGAAAUGUGGCAUCCAAAUGUCUAUCCUGAUGGGUGGGUUUGUAUCUCUAUUCUUCAUCCACCCAGUGAAGAUCCAAACGGUUAUGAGCUCGCAAGUGAGCGAUGGACACCUGUGCACACACUUGUAGGUACUGAUCACAGCACAUUCAACUCCACACAGAUUGUCCAUGUUUCUUUUAGUCACCAUGAUUUAUCACUAGGUCAUUGUGUUUGUGGCCAACGAGUAUUGUUCUAACAGUUAUGUUCCCAUAGCUAGCUGGAUUCAUUGUUGUGUUUUGUUCAGGGUACUUUCACCACUUCUGGUAUGGUUCUGUCUGUAAUGUGCCAGGGAUUAUUAUAUUGUUUUUGGUUUGGAUUUGGAAUGGUUUGGGGUCCACAACGAUGAUGCGUCAGAGCUGUUCCAAGGAUUGGAUGAUUUCCAUUCCCCUGCUGCCAAUUCGACUAGGCUCGCCGUCUCCGCUCUGCCCAACUGGCACCAAGCAGCCAAUGGAACUUGAGCAGCCAAUGGAUGAUUUCCAUUCCCCUGCUGCCAAUUCUCUGAACUGCUUCGACCCUUCAACUCAAUCUGCAUGUACCCAGUAAAUGUUCAAUCUGAAUUUGGAUCAUUGCUAGCAGGAUUCUUUGCUUGCUCUUCUACUUCUGAAAAUUCGCAAAAUGGAUAGAUAAUUCCAGUUAAUUUUAAUCCAUUACAGCCUGUUGUGGCAGCAAACAGCGACCGGGUGCGGAAGCCGGAAGGGAGAGGCGCUUGGUUGACCCGGAACGGACGACAAGACACCACCGGGGGUUCGCUGCAACCGCACGCGUGGUGGCCGGUGUGGGAAGGAGCCCACUGCUCAAGCAGCGAUGACUUCCGCAACUUCUCAGGCCAAGUUGUAGGGAGGGAGGGCAGCAAAGAAAGCAAGCAAGAAAGAAGCCGAUUCCACUGGUGGUUAAGGUUUUGGAUUAAAGGAGAGAGGUGCAGAGAAAAAAAAGGCAAUCUUACUCUUAAUCUCUGUGUCCACAUCACUUCCAAUCAUGCUGUGAUCGACAGAAGUACGAGUGCCAUGGAUAAGUGCCUCCUCCAACUCACCAAAGUAAUAAGGAGCAGCUGCUGCAGGUUGCAACUCCCUGGGCCAAGUAGUAGCGCAACAAGUUCAGCACCAAUGGCAGCCAUAUGAAAUAUAAGGCAAAGCAGAUAAAAAGCUUAUUUUUUUUUCAAGAAGGUAAAGGCAAUGACAGAAAAGUGAGGAGGGUCAGAGGUGUACAGAUAAGGAUGAGGGCUGAAAAGAGGAGCAGGAAGGAUGCUUUUGGCACUGAGAGGAGAAAAGCUAUAAGAUGCUAAAUCUCUCCAUUGCAUACGGAAAAACGUAGGAAGGGCACUGCAGCUGAUGUUGCUAUGUGUGCAAUGCUUGAGAUAGACAGAAAUACUCGUCUUAAGGAGCUUGGUUGGGCGCUACUCAUGUGGGUAGUUUAUGCAUAAAGUUAUGCCUGUUCGUUGCUUAAAUGUUGCCAUAUUUUGUUUUUCUCUUUGAAACUGUGAAGGGCACAACUUUUUAACGACUUCUGUAACUUGUGUAUCUAACAUCUGUAUUCGGUAUUCUGAGUUAAAAUGGGCACAUUUAAUUAUAUUUUA
RNA transcript from Zea mays, 3113 nucleotides. It is a transcript of the gene named ubiquitin carrier protein 7, with no coding region annotated. Lineage: Eukaryota; Viridiplantae; Streptophyta; Magnoliopsida; Poales; Poaceae. The record is from RefSeq and is marked validated. The transcript has 13 exons.